Long non-coding RNA from Helianthus annuus (common sunflower), 423 nucleotides. RefSeq lists it as uncharacterized. NCBI's taxonomy places the organism in Eukaryota, Viridiplantae, Streptophyta, Magnoliopsida, Asterales, Asteraceae. The record is from RefSeq and is a predicted model, not a curated record. The transcript is spliced from 3 exons.
CAGACACUCCACCUUUCUCUACAAACCCUAACCCUAACCUUCAUUUCAUCCACCGCUCCUCCACCGCUCCUCCACGACUCCUCCAUCGUUGACGACAUCAGAUCCGACACCAGAUCCGACACAACAUCGAUUUCUAUGGCUUCUUUUCCCAGUGGCUUCAAGAUCCAACACUAUCUCAGUAGAUCCGACACUAUUUCAGUAGAUCCGACACCAGAUCUACUGGUUUGACUGUAGGAUCUUCCUUUUGGUUGUGGGUUCGUCGUCAACGAUGGUGCUUGUGGGUGGAAGAUCUGGCAAGAUCUAUGGUUUAUUUGUAGUAGAUCUGUUCUUUAUGAGAAAGGAAAAGAGAAAUGGCAUUUAUACUAUGGAAGUGGAAUGAGGUCAUCCAUGUUCAAAGUGGAAUGCCAUUUCACCUUCUUCUUC